Molecule: long non-coding RNA, 344 nt
Organism: Maniola jurtina (meadow brown)
Lineage: Eukaryota; Metazoa; Arthropoda; Insecta; Lepidoptera; Nymphalidae
Exons: 2
Source: RefSeq, a predicted model, not a curated record
UAAUAUAAAUAGCUUGAUUUCAACUAAGAGUAUUAUUUUAGAUCUUUCAACUCAUCAUGAGGUUCUUAUUAGUGUUAAUUGCUCUCUUAUUUGUAGCUGGUAUUAACUGUGCUACUCUCUUAUCGGAUAAUACAGGUCUCCAUCAACGUACGAUCCCAAGUAAUGAAUCUGAAGAAGUCAUUCAUAGGGCAAAAAGAAGCAACUUCUUCUGCAAAACGCAUAAAGAAUGCAACGACUUUUGUAGGAAUGUUGUCUUCCAUAGAAAAGGAAGAUGCCAUCUUAUUUGCUUCUGUAGUUAAUGUAGCAUCUAAUACAAAUAAAUGUAAAUAAAAGAGUAUGUCUGU